This 1601-nucleotide ribosomal RNA is filed under the name Garrulax canorus (Chinese hwamei). RNAcentral's name for it is "16S ribosomal RNA". It matches the Rfam family "Bacterial large subunit ribosomal RNA". The record is from RNAcentral. Lineage: Eukaryota; Metazoa; Chordata; Aves; Passeriformes; Leiothrichidae.
UGCCAAACUCUAGCCCAAUCCACAUGACAUGGAAUAACAAAGCUACUCACAACACUUAACCAAAGCAUUUGCUAGUCCCAGUAUAGGCGAUAGAAAAGACACCAUUGGCGCGAUAGAGAUCACGUACCGUAAGGGAAAGAUGAAAUAAAAAUGAAAAACCCUAAGCUAUAAACAGCAAAGAUCAACCCUUGUACCUUUUGCAUCAUGGUCUAGCAAGAAAAACCAAGCAAAAUGAAUUUAAGUUUGCCACCCCGAAACCCGAGCGAGCUACCUAUGAGCAGCUAUUGUGAGCGAACCCGUCUCUGUGGCAAAAGAGUGGGAUGACUUGUAGGUAGAGGUGAAAAGCCAACCGAGCCGGGUGAUAGCUGGUUGCCUGUGAAACGAACCUAAGUUCACUCUUAAUUCUUCUCCAAGGAAACUCAAAACCCCAAUGAAGCGAAUUAAGGGCUAUUUAAAGGAGGUACAGCUCCUUUAAAAAAGAAAACAAUCUCCACGAGCGGAUAAGUAAACACCCCAAAUAAAUACCCUGUGGGCCCUCAAGCAGCCAUCAACAAAGAGUGCGUUAAAGCUCUGCACCCAAAAAUAUCGAAUCCAUAUGACUCCCUCCCCACUAACGGGCUAACCUAUAGUUCAAUAGGAGAAUUAAUGCUAGAAUGAGUAACCAGGGUUCUCCCUCUUCGACGCAAGCUUACAUCAGUACAUUAUUAACAAGCACCCAAUAUACGACAAAUCCAACAAGCAGAGUAUUAUCCACCUUGUUAACCCGACAAAGGAGCGUCCACUAAGAAAGAUUAAAACCUGUAAAAGGAACUAGGCAAACCCAGGGCCCGACUGUUUACCAAAAACAUAGCCUUCAGCAAACCAAAAGACAAGUAUUGAAGGUGAUGCCUGCCCGGUGACAUAGUUUAACGGCCGCGGUAUCCUAACCGUGCAAAGGUAGCGCAAUCAAUUGUCCCAUAAAUGGGGACUAGUAUGAAUGGCUAAACGAGGUCUUAACUGUCUCUUACAGGCAAUCGGUGAAAUUGAUCUCCCUGUACAAAAGCAGGGAUAUACCCAUAAGACGAGAAGACCCUGUGGAACUUCAAAAGCAGCAGCCACCCCAAAUUACAUACCAACCCACCCGGGCUCACUUACCUAACGGGCCACUGGCUUGCACUUUUUCGGUUGGGGCGACCUUGGAGCAAAGCAAAACCUCCAAAUCUUGGACCUCACAUCUAGACUAAGAGCGACCUCUCAACGUGCUAACAGCAACCAGAUCCAAUAUAAUUGAUCAAUGGACCAAGCUACCCCAGGGAUAACAGCGCAAUCUCCUCCAAGAGUCCAUAUCGACGAGGAGGUUUACGACCUCGAUGUUGGAUCAGGACAUCCUAGUGGUGCAGCAGCUACUAAGGGCUCGUUUGUUCAACGAUUAACAGUCCUACGUGAUCUGAGUUCAGACCGGAGCAAUCCAGGUCGGUUUCUAUCUAUGAUGAGCUCUUCCCAGUACGAAAGGAUAGGAAAAGCGAGGCCAAUACUACAGGCAAGCCUCCGCCUUAAGUAAUGAAGUCAACUAAAUUACGAAAGGCUAUCACCCCCCCCCCCCCCGUCCUAGAAAAGGACCA